CUAAUUUAACGUUCGUUCUACGCAAGCUUAAUUUCAAACUAAAAUGCACGCGCACGCGCGUGUCUGUUCUCAUUAUCGAAAUAUCUGUCUAAAAUAGGCCUCCAUACUGUCAAAGACUCAAAACUGUUUAAUACUUUCAUACCACGAUGUAUUUCCCUGAGAGACUCUAUUCCUUCUUUCACUUUUCUUUGUCUCAAACCACUUUCUUUUGCCACAACACUUGUAUUUUCCCAAUCAACUCCACUUAAACAAUUAUUCACAUUGUGUCGCGCUAAUCCCCCGUCUUCCUUUCCCAUUCGUUCAUUCGCCAUUGUCAAGUUCCCGUUUUUGAUAUCUUCAUUCGUUAGUCUCACUUUGCUUUCAUGUUCCUUUUUUCUUGUCUUCAGUAAUCUCCACGUUUCUCCAACAUACGCUGCCUUCUCACAUUUGCACGGAAUCUUGUACACAACACCUUUCUGCUUCUCACGAAGUGGUUGUUGGGAUCUGGUCUUUAGAUCUUUGACUUUCUUUCCUGGUUUGAAUGCCGUUUGAAAAGAAUGUUUCAAAGCUACUCUCUUAAACUGUUCUGAUAUUCCGCGAACAUACGGUACUAUCACCUUUCCUCGAUAUUGUUGUUCUUCCAUUUCUCUUUCACCCGUGAGAAGCAGAAAGGUGUUGUGUACAAGAUUCCGUGCAAAUGUGAGAAGGCAGCGUAUGUUGGAGAAACGUGGAGAUUACUGAAGAAAAACGAAUGAAGAUAUCAAAAACGGGAACUUGACAAUGGCGAAUGAACGAAUGGGAAAGGAAGACGGGGGAUUAGCGCGACACAAUGUGAAUUGUUUAAGUGGAGUUGAUUGGGAAAAUACAAGUGUUGUGGCAAAAGAAAGU
Non-coding RNA from Paramuricea clavata, 867 nucleotides. The record is from the annotation of a GenBank genome assembly. NCBI's taxonomy places the organism in Eukaryota, Metazoa, Cnidaria, Anthozoa, Malacalcyonacea, Plexauridae.